RNAcentral lists this ribosomal RNA (252 nucleotides) under uncultured bacterium. RNAcentral's name for it is "partial 16S ribosomal RNA". It matches the Rfam family "Bacterial small subunit ribosomal RNA", at positions 524 to 776 of the family's 1533-position model. The record is from RNAcentral.
UACGGAGGAUGCGAGCGUUAUCCGGAUUUAUUGGGUUUAAAGGGUGCGCAGGCGGCACGGCAAGCCGGCGGUCAAAUCGCGGGGCUCAACCCCGCCCAGCCGUCGGAACUGCCGGGCUAGAGUGGGCGAGAAGUGCGCGGAAUGCGUGGUGUAGCGGUGAAAUGCAUAGAUAUCACGCAGAACUCCGAUUGCGAAGGCAGCGCACCGGCGCCCUACUGACGCCCAGGCACGAAAGCGUGGGUAUCGAACAGG